Molecule: ribosomal RNA, 1193 nt
Filed under: marine metagenome
Description: bacterial LSU rRNA
Rfam family: Bacterial large subunit ribosomal RNA
Source: RNAcentral
GGAUGAGCUGUGGAUAGGGGUGAAAGGCUAAACAAACUUGGAGAUAGCUGGUUCUCUCCGAAAACUAUUUAGGUAGUGCCUCAAGUAUUACCUGCGGGGGUAGAGCACUGUUUUGGCUAGGGGGUCAUGGCGACUUACCAAACCAAGGCAAACUCCGAAUACCGCAGAGUACAGCUUGGGAGACAGAGCACCGGGUGCUAACGUCCGGACUCAAGAGGGAAACAACCCAGACCGCCAGCUAAGGUCCCUAAAAUUGGCUAAGUGGGAAACGAAGUGGGAAGGCUAAAACAGUCAGGAUGUUGGCUUAGAAGCAGCCAUCAUUUAAAGAAAGCGUAAUAGCUCACUGAUCGAGUCGUCCUGCGCGGAAGAUGUAACGGGGCUAAGCCAGUUACCGAAGCUGCGGAUUUGCAAUUUAUUGCAAGUGGUAGGAGAGCGUUCUGUAAGCCUGUGAAGGUGUCUUGUGAAGGAUGCUGGAGGUAUCAGAAGUGCGAAUGCUGACAUGAGUAGCGUUAAAGGGGGUGAAAAGCCCCCUCGCCGUAAGCGCAAGGUUUCCUACGCAACGUUCAUCGGCGUAGGGUGAGUCGGCCCCUAAGGUGAGGCAGAGAUGCGUAGCUGAUGGGAAACAGGUUAAUAUUCCUGUACCGAUUACAAGUGCGAUGUGGGGACGGAGAAGGUUAGCUCAGCCAACUGUUGGAUAUGUUGGUUCAAGCCUGUAGUCAUGCCUGGUAGGCAAAUCCGCCGGGCUAAGAUGAGGGGUGAUAACGAGUGUGCUUGCACACGAAGUGAGUGAUACCCUGCUUCCAGGAAAAGCCACUAAGCUUCAGCUUGUAACGACCGUACCGCAAACCGACACUGGUGCGCGAGAUGAGUAUUCUAAGGCGCUUGAGAGAACUCUGGAGAAGGAACUCGGCAAAUUGACACCGUAACUUCGGGAGAAGGUGUGCCCUCAGUAGGUGAACCUGUACAAGGGGAGCCCAAAGGGGUUGCAAAGAAUAGGUGGCUGCGACUGUUUAUUAAAAACACAGCACUCUGCAAACACGAAAGUGGACGUAUAGGGUGUGACGCCUGCCCGGUGCUGGAAGAUUAAAUGAUGGGGUGCAAGCUCUUGAUUGAAGUCCCAGUAAACGGCGGCCGUAACUAUAACGGUCCUAAGGUAGCGAAAUUCCUUGUCGGGUAAGUUCCGACCUGCACGA